ACUCCUACGGGAGGCAGCAGUGGGGAAUAUUGAACAAUGGGCGCAAGCCUGAUCCAGCCAUGCCGCGUGAGUGAUGAAGGCCCUAGGGUUGUAAAGCUCUUUCACCGGUGAAGAUAAUGACGGUAACCGGAGAAGAAGCCCCGGCUAACUUCGUGCCAGCAGCCGCGGUAAUACGAAGGGGGCUAGCGUUGUUCGGAUUUACUGGGCGUAAAGCGCACGUAGGCGGACUAUUAAGUCAGGGGUGAAAUCCCGGGGCUCAACCCCGGAACUGCCUUUGAUACUGGUAGUCUUGAGUUCGAGAGAGGUGAGUGGAAUUCCGAGUGUAGAGGUGAAAUUCGUAGAUAUUCGGAGGAACACCAGUGGCGAAGGCGGCUCACUGGCUCGAUACUGACGCUGAGGUGCGAAAGCGUGGGGAGCAAACAGGAUUAGAUACCCCUGUAGUCC
RNAcentral lists this ribosomal RNA (444 nucleotides) under uncultured organism. RNAcentral describes it as "partial 16S ribosomal RNA". It matches the Rfam family "Bacterial small subunit ribosomal RNA", at positions 335 to 796 of the family's 1533-position model. The record is from RNAcentral.